UAAAGAGGGUGCGAGCGUUAAUAGGAAUUACUGGGCGUAAAGCGCACGUAGGUGGCGACGUAAGUCGGGUGUGAAAGCGCCGGGCUCAACCUGGGAAUUGCAUUCGAGACUGCAUUGCUGGAGUACGGAAGAGGAGGGCGGAAUUCCCGGUGUAGCGGUGAAAUGCGUAGAUAUCGGGAGGAACAUCAGUGGCGAAGGCGGCCCUCUGGUCCAGUACUGACACUCAAGUGCGAAAGCGUGGGGAGCAAACAGG
RNAcentral lists this ribosomal RNA (253 nucleotides) under uncultured bacterium. Its description in RNAcentral is "partial 16S ribosomal RNA". It matches the Rfam family "Bacterial small subunit ribosomal RNA", at positions 524 to 776 of the family's 1533-position model. The record is from RNAcentral.